RNAcentral lists this ribosomal RNA (468 nucleotides) under uncultured bacterium. Its description in RNAcentral is "partial 16S ribosomal RNA". It matches the Rfam family "Bacterial small subunit ribosomal RNA", at positions 28 to 507 of the family's 1533-position model. The record is from RNAcentral.
GAUGAACGCUGGCGGCGUGCUUAACACAUGCAAGUCGAACGGAAAGGCCAGUGCUUGCCCUGGUGCUCGAGUGGCGAACGGGUGAGUAACACGUGGGUGAUCUGCCCUGUACUUCGGGAUAAGCUUGGGAAACUGGGUCUAAUACCGGAUAGGACAACUUUUUGGAUAUUGUUGUGGAAAGCUUUUGCGGUAUGGGAUGAGCUCGCGGCCUAUCAGCUUGUUGGUGGGGUAAUGGCCUACCAAGGCGUCGACGGGUAGCCGGCCUGAGAGGGUGUACGGCCACAUUGGGACUGAGAGACGGCCCAGACUCCUACGGGAGGCAGCAGUGGGGAAUAUUGCACAAUGGGCGCAAGACUGAUGCAGCGACGCCGCGUGGGGGAUGAAGGCCUUAGGGUUGUAAACUCCUUUCGCUAGGGACGAAGCGUUUUUGUGACGGUACCUGGAGAAGAAGCACCGGCUAACUACGUG